GCCUUCGUGGUGUAGUGGUCAGCACGCUCGGCGCAUAUCGAAAGAUCCGUGGUUCGAGUCCCGGCGUGGGCA
This 72-nucleotide transfer RNA is filed under the name Stegodyphus mimosarum. It matches the Rfam family "tRNA". From Rfam's summary of the family: Transfer RNA (tRNA) molecules are approximately 80 nucleotides in length. Lineage: Eukaryota; Metazoa; Arthropoda; Arachnida; Araneae; Eresidae. The record is from Rfam by way of RNAcentral.